This 245-nucleotide ribosomal RNA is filed under the name uncultured bacterium. RNAcentral describes it as "partial 16S ribosomal RNA". It matches the Rfam family "Bacterial small subunit ribosomal RNA", at positions 29 to 267 of the family's 1533-position model. The record is from RNAcentral.
AAUGAACGCUGGCGGCGCGCCUAAUACAUGCAAGUCGAGCGAGAAGACGUAGCAAUACGUUUGUAAAGCGGCGAACGGGUGAGGAAUACAUGGGUAACCUACCCUCGAGUGGGGAAUAACUAGCCGAAAGGUUAGCUAAUACCGCGUACGCUUCUUGGACUUCGGUUCAGGGAGGGAAGCGAUGCCGAGGGUAUCGCGCUCUUGGAUGGGCUCAUGUCCUAUCAGCUUGUUGGGAGGUACGCUCA